UACGUAGGGUGCAAGCGUUGUCCGGAAUUAUUGGGCGUAAAGAGCUCGUAGGCGGUUCGUCGCGUCUGCCGUGAAAGUCCGGGGCUCAACUCCGGAUCUGCGGUGGGUACGGGCAGACUAGAGUGAUGUAGGGGAGACUGGAAUUCCUGGUGUAGCGGUGAAAUGCGCAGAUAUCAGGAGGAACACCGGUGGCGAAGGCGGGUCUCUGGGCAACAACUGACGCUGAGGAGCGAAAGCGUGGGGAGCGAACAGG
RNAcentral lists this ribosomal RNA (253 nucleotides) under uncultured bacterium. RNAcentral's name for it is "partial 16S ribosomal RNA". It matches the Rfam family "Bacterial small subunit ribosomal RNA", at positions 524 to 776 of the family's 1533-position model. The record is from RNAcentral.